RNAcentral lists this long non-coding RNA (352 nucleotides) under Canis lupus familiaris (dog). RNAcentral's name for it is "lncRNA (ENSCAFG00040024901.1)". Lineage: Eukaryota; Metazoa; Chordata; Mammalia; Carnivora; Canidae. The record is from RNAcentral.
UCAGACUCCUGAGGCCCCUCCUCCAUGAGGACCUUGCCUCCUCAGGGCGUCAACUUCCUGAGGGCACCCUGUGAGCUCUGCUCCAAGUCCUGACUCUGCCUGGCCAAGUUCCUUUCCUGUCCCUGGGUUUGUCUUGCACUUUCUUCUAAGUAUUUCUCCUAGAAGGCAGAUGAAUCUCCUGGGCAUUAUGGAAGGAUAACAGAUUCUAGAAGAAAUAUGAAGCAGCAACUGUGAAGCUUGAGCUUCUCAACCUUUGCAGCCCUAACCCAACUUGGCUUAAUUCAGCCUCACUGAACCAGAUCUAAACACUCUUGGCUCCCAGAUGUUGCUACAGCUCUCUGAUCUUUAGAAU